ACGACCCGGAACGACUUGCGCCUAGAAAAAAAUCGUUGCCAGUAGAACGUUUGCGAGGCUUGCGCGCGGCGGCCCGGGUGCCGUUUGGGGUUUCUUGGCUCCCUCGUGCUGGGCGCCUCGCUUCUCGUCGGAGCCUCUGGUAUCGCGAGAGGUCGCCCCGAACCCGGAAAAGGCGCAGCAUGUCUGACAACGAGGAUAAUUUUGAUGGAGAUGAUUUUGAUGAUGUGGAGGAAGAUGAAGGACUGGAUGAUCUGGAAAAUGCUGAGGAGGAGGGUCAGGAAAAUG
Non-coding RNA from Podarcis muralis (Common wall lizard), 285 nucleotides. Lineage: Eukaryota; Metazoa; Chordata; Lepidosauria; Squamata; Lacertidae. The record is from RefSeq and is a predicted model, not a curated record.